Molecule: ribosomal RNA, 497 nt
Filed under: uncultured bacterium
Lineage: Bacteria
Description: partial 16S ribosomal RNA
Rfam family: Bacterial small subunit ribosomal RNA
Source: RNAcentral
GACGAACGCUGGCGGCGUGCCUAAUACAUGCAAGUUGAGCGAAGAAGUUUGGUGCUUGCACCAAUUUGAAGAGCAGCGGACGGGUGAGUAACGCGUGGGUAAUCUGCCUUUGAGCGGGGGACAACAUUUGGAAACGAAUGCUAAUACCGCAUAACAACUUUAAACAUAAGUUUUAAGUUUGAAAGAUGCAAUUGCAUCACUCAAAGAUGAUCCCGCGUUGUAUUAGCUAGUUGGGGAGGUAAAGGCUCACCAAGGCGAUGAUACAUAGCCGACCUGGGAGGGUGAUCGGCCACAUUGGGACCUGAACCCGGCCCAAGCUCCUACGGGAGGCAGCAGUAGGGAAUCCUCGGCAAUGGAGGAAAGGCUGACCGGGCAACGGCGCGGGGGGGAAGAAGGUUUUCGGAUCGUAAAACUCUGUUGGUAGAGAAGAACGUUAGGGAGAGUGGAAAGCGCAUGAAUUGACGGUAACUACCCAGAAAGCGACGGCUAACUACGUG